Long non-coding RNA from Mytilus trossulus (common blue mussel), 261 nucleotides. RefSeq lists it as uncharacterized. The record is from RefSeq and is a predicted model, not a curated record. Lineage: Eukaryota; Metazoa; Mollusca; Bivalvia; Mytilida; Mytilidae. The transcript has 3 exons.
AGCUCUAUGCAAUGGGAUUACUUCUUGUCCAAAUGGAGGAACCUGCUCAAUGCCGAACACUUGUGUAUGUGCCCCGGGAUUUGGAGGAUCACAAUGUUCAGAUAUUAACGAAUGUCAGACAGGAACAGAUAACUGCCAACAGAAUUGUAUAAAUACACAUGGAUCCUUUACAUGCUCUUGUGGAUCUGGAUAUAUCAUGAACAGCGAUGGUGCAACAUGUACAGAUAUAAAUGAAUGUCUUGGUGAGAAUGGUGGCUGUAG